RNAcentral lists this ribosomal RNA (454 nucleotides) under uncultured Parabacteroides sp. RNAcentral's name for it is "partial 16S ribosomal RNA". It matches the Rfam family "Bacterial small subunit ribosomal RNA", at positions 341 to 792 of the family's 1533-position model. Lineage: Bacteria; Pseudomonadati; Bacteroidota; Bacteroidia; Bacteroidales; Tannerellaceae. The record is from RNAcentral.
ACGGAAGGCAGCAGUGAGGAAUAUUGGUCAAUGGACGGAAGUCUGAACCAGCCAAGUCGCGUGAAGGAUGAAGGUAUUAUGUAUUGUAAACUUCUUUAGCAGUGGAGUAAUAAGGGGAUCGCGAUCCCUGAUGCAAGUACACUGAGAAUAAGGAUCGGCUAACUCCGUGCCAGCAGCCGCGGUAAUACGGAGGAUCCGAGCGUUAUCCGGAUUUAUUGGGUUUAAAGGGUGCGCAGGCGGGAUGUCAAGUCAGUGGUGAAAUGGUGCGGCUCAACCGUAGCAUUGCCGUUGAAACUGGCGUCCUUGAGUGCGAAUGAGGUACGCGGAACGUGUCAUGUAGCGGUGAAAUGCAUAGAUAUGACACAGAACACCGAUUGCGAAGGCAGCGUACUGGGACGCGACUGACGCUGAGGCACGAAAGUGCGGGGAUCGAACAGGAUUAGAUACCCUGGUA